GGCCUAACACAUGCAAGUCGAACGGUAAGGCCCUUCGGGGUACACGAGUGGCGAACGGGUGAGUAACACGUGGGUAAUCUGCCCUGCACUUUGGGAUAAGCCUGGGAAACUGGGUCUAAUACCGGAUAUGACCCCGAGGCGCAUGCCUUGGGGUGGAAAGCUUUUGCGGUGUGGGAUGGGCCCGCGGCCUAUCAGCUUGUUGGUGGGGUGAUGGCCUACCAAGGCGACGACGGGUAGCCGGCCUGAGAGGGUGUCCGGCCACACUGGGACUGAGAUACGGCCCAGACUCCUACGGGAGGCAGCAGUGGGGAAUAUUGCACAAUGGGCGGAAGCCUGAUGCAGCGACGCCGCGUGGGGGAUGACGGCCUUCGGGUUGUAAACCUCUUUCACCAUCGACGAAGGUCCGGGUCUUCUCGGAUUGACGGUAGGUGGAGAAGAAGCACCGGCCAACUACGUGCCAGCAGCCGCGGUAAUACGUAGGGUGCGAGCGUUGUCCGGAAUUACUGGGCGUAAAGAGCUCGUAGGUGGUUUGUCGCGUUGUUCGUGAAAUCUCACGGCUUAACUGUGAGCGUGCGGGCGAUACGGGCAGACUGGAGUACUGCAGGGGAGACUGGAAUUCCUGGUGUAGCGGUGGAAUGCGCAGAUAUCAGGAGGAACACCGGUGGCGAAGGCGGGUCUCUGGGCAGUAACUGACGCUGAGGAGCGAAAGCGUGGGGAGCGAACAGGAUUAGAUACCCUGGUAGUCCACGCCGUAAACGGUGGGUACUAGGGUGUGGGUUUCCUUCCUUGGGAUCCGUGCCGUAACUAACGCAUUAAGUACCC
RNAcentral lists this ribosomal RNA (822 nucleotides) under uncultured Mycobacterium sp. RNAcentral's name for it is "bacterial SSU rRNA". It matches the Rfam family "Bacterial small subunit ribosomal RNA", at positions 45 to 869 of the family's 1533-position model. Lineage: Bacteria; Bacillati; Actinomycetota; Actinomycetes; Mycobacteriales; Mycobacteriaceae. The record is from RNAcentral.